UAACCAAAAGUACCUAAAAACUAUCAUUUCAAUUACGUACAGUAUAAUAGUAAAUAAAUAUAGGUAAUACAGAAAAAUAAAUAGGAAAUUGAGACAAUCGUGAACUAACUAGUUCCGGCUCCACUACCUGUAAUUAUUUUCAAGGUUCUCUAAUUUUUUAUAAAAAUACACAAUAAUUAAUUAUUAAUCCUCAAUUUAUCGUAAUGGAGAAAAAGGUAAGGGAUCCUUAUCUGAAUUAGUGUUUUGGGAUGCCGUGUUGCCUACUACGCU
RNAcentral lists this long non-coding RNA (270 nucleotides) under Carica papaya (papaya). RNAcentral's name for it is "long non-coding RNA (CPAP_LNC007284)". Lineage: Eukaryota; Viridiplantae; Streptophyta; Magnoliopsida; Brassicales; Caricaceae. The record is from RNAcentral.